GUUAAGUCACAGUCUGAGUUAGUAGGAGUUCCCACAGAGCUCCUAGAGACUUCAGCUACACCAGAAUUUUGUUAAAAAUAAUAAGCAACUGUAUAAAACUUUCACAAAACAUGCGAAUCUGAAUGGAACUGAUGAGACUUUACUGCGAUUGUUGUUACAGAGCUUGCAGAGCAGCUGGGGGAACUCGCUGACAUAGGAAGACUGAAGGGUUUAAUGUCUGGAGUUCACAAUGUGCCUAAAUCCAAGCUUGCGGCAUAUCCAGCAGAUUCCCAAACAUAGGAUUGAGCAGGGUCUUGAGAGUUCAUCUCAUCCUUCUCCCUGCCCAAAGGAGGAGUCACACAUCCGGCAUCUAAUGUGCUGCAAGUGACUGUGUUUAGGUGAUUGAAUCCCACCUUCUGGUUUUACCCCAGUGUAAGUGUUUUUACCCUAGGUGAUGAAGGCUGCUAUCUUCUUCCUUUGACUAAACUAAAUAAAGUGAACUCUA
Molecule: long non-coding RNA, 484 nt
Organism: Pezoporus flaviventris
Lineage: Eukaryota; Metazoa; Chordata; Aves; Psittaciformes; Psittacidae
Exons: 2
Source: RefSeq, a predicted model, not a curated record